GUCUACGGCCAUGCUACCCUGAACAAGCCUGAUCCUGUCUGAUUUCAGAAGUUAAGCAGGAUCAGGCCUGGUUAGUACUUGGACGGGAGACCACCUAGGAAGACCAGGUGCUGUAGGCG
This 119-nucleotide ribosomal RNA is filed under the name Pteropus alecto (black flying fox). Lineage: Eukaryota; Metazoa; Chordata; Mammalia; Chiroptera; Pteropodidae. The record is from RNAcentral.